CCUACGGGAGGCAGCAGUAGGGAAUUUUCGUCAAUGGGCGAGAGUCUGAACCAGCCAAGUAUCGUGAAGGAUGACUGCCCUAUGGGUUGUAAACUUCUUUUAUCUGGGAAUAAAAUGUUCCUCGUGUGGGUUUUUGUAUGUACCAUAUGAAUAAGGAUCGGCUAACUCCGUGCCAGCAGCCGCGGUAAUACGGAGGAUUCGAGCGUUAUCCGGAUUUAUUGGGUUUAAAGGGAGCGUAGGUGGAUUGUUAAGUCAGUUGUGAAAGUUUGCGGCUCAACCGUCAAAUUGCAGUUGAAACUGGCAGUCUUGAGUACAGGAGAGGUGUGCGGAAUUCGUGGUGUAGCGGUGAAAUGCUUAGAUAUCACGAAGAACUCCGAUUGCGAAGGCAGCUCACUGGACUGCAACUGACACUGAGGCUCGAAAGUGUGGGUAUCGAACAGGAUUAGAUACCCGAGUAGUC
Molecule: ribosomal RNA, 460 nt
Filed under: uncultured bacterium
Lineage: Bacteria
Description: partial 16S ribosomal RNA
Rfam family: Bacterial small subunit ribosomal RNA
Source: RNAcentral